UGUUUUUAGUUUAGAUCGGCAAAUCGUUAAUAAUUACUUUCUCCUUAUUCGUAUCUUCAGAGUCUGGGGACGAGAUCCCUCCUCUUGUGACCCAUCGGCACCUGAAGCAUUUCUGAAAGGAAACCGGUUGAACAUGUGAGGAACAAGGACAAGGGUCUGGCAGGCAGCAGAUUCUUUUGGUUCAGAAACUGAUUCAUACUCACAGCACAACUGAAAAGUCAUGCAAUUCUCCAAUUUUUAAUAAGUAAGGAAGAGCAUUUGUGCCUCAAUCAAAAAGCUGUGCACCCCUGAGUAAAAGUUCCAGUUCCUCUGUUGUGGGUCUCAGCACUGUGCAUCUAUCAGAGAAAAUCACUGCAGAGCAGGGGCUGCUGGUAACCAGAUCACAGCUCUGGAGGCUGCACAGCGAUGGGAUGACACUACUGGCAGAGCUGAGAGGUGGAAGUGGCUUUCUGCAGAGGCUGCUGAAGGUAUCCUAAUGACUUUGAUGUGCUUGUGUUAACCAAGUUCGAUUUUUCAAAAUAUCCACACUAUUCUCAGGUUUUCAAGUAUCUGGUUUAUUUCUUGUUGCCUUUCUUCUUUUUUUCCUUCUUUUUCUCUU
This 598-nucleotide long non-coding RNA is filed under the name Meleagris gallopavo (turkey). Its description in RNAcentral is "lncRNA (ENSMGAG00000019706.1)". Lineage: Eukaryota; Metazoa; Chordata; Aves; Galliformes; Phasianidae. The record is from RNAcentral.